Molecule: long non-coding RNA, 578 nt
Organism: Puntigrus tetrazona (Sumatra barb)
Lineage: Eukaryota; Metazoa; Chordata; Actinopteri; Cypriniformes; Cyprinidae
Exons: 3
Source: RefSeq, a predicted model, not a curated record
CUAGGUCACAUCCCUUUCUGGUAUCCCUGCAUGGAUCAUGUGAAAGUUACCAGGUGUAGUGGCUUUAAAUUGUCAUGACAGAAGUUGAAAAAUUGGAUUAUAGCUUUUCACAGACAAUGAAGGGGUGAGAGGAGAUGUCAAGCCCCAAACCCCCUGCUACCCGUCAACGACGUGACCCACAGUGCUACAUUCAGGCUAAUUUCCCGUCUCUUUGUCCUUGGAUUCCUUUUCAUUGUCAGUGGGAUGAUAACAAACGACAGAGGCAGAGUUCCUUCCCGAAUGAUUCAGGCAGAGAGAUGGGGUGCGGUGGGAUCUGACUAAAGGCUGAUGAGAGUGCGGUGAUCAUGCAAGUUUGUUUUGUCAUUCAGUUGCUGUCUGAAUGUUGUGCAAAACAUUGUGCAAACAUCCAGAACCAUUUUAAUACGUUUCUAUUAUUAUAGGGUUGCGCUAGUGCCACAACAAUGAAUUCACUACUUACAAAGUGUGUGCACUAGAAACACUGAAAAGGAUACAUCUGGAUUGAAAUAGGCCUCCUUAAGUUACAGCACACCUGCCUAGAGUACCAUUUGUCAAGUGUC